CAAUCUUUGCACCCAGAUGUUGCAGUAAGUCUGGAAGCCACAUCAAACUGUUUGUGGUACUUCUAAACUUCGUGGAAGAACCCUGUUUCAUAAAUCUGAGACAGUCUUCGUCUGAGGGGGCAAAGACAGAGAAUUCAUGUGCUGCCCAGGCAUAGCGACGUAGCAGGUGGACAUCCCUGGACACUUUUCUGACAAAGCAUGCAACGUGGGGAAAAAACGGAAAUCCAAGAAAAGCAAGAGCAAUUUCAAGGCACUAAAUAAGUGGACUGAGAGAAGAAGUACACAGAUACUUCCCCGAACAAAGUAAGUGAUAUACAAGAGUAACCUCUUCCUGGAUGAAUCCUCAUGAGUGUCAUCACUUAGUCUCAAGGGAUGGCCAAAGCCAAUGGGCAGUUGUUGAGCUGAGUGGGAAGAUCUUGAACAAGCAGGCUGAAGUGUCCACACUGCACACAGAAGAUCCUUUCCAAUGUGGGACAAAGCUAGGGGUUUCUACCCCUUUCUAGGGUGGCUGUGAUCUGAGAAAGACCUCCAUUUGUACUCUUGUAAAAAUUUAAUGGUGUUUUAGCUUUAAUUACUGGUGUUUUUAUAUUGGCAAAUUGAGUCUUGACAGAGAAGGAACUGUUUUCUAUUCAUCUCUGAAUCGCCAGUAUUUUAGACAAUAUCUGAAAUGAUCCCAUGUUUGGGUUUUAAUAAAAGUUUAAGAAAUGAA
This is a long non-coding RNA of Rhinopithecus roxellana (golden snub-nosed monkey), 709 nucleotides long. RefSeq lists it as uncharacterized. The transcript has 3 exons. Lineage: Eukaryota; Metazoa; Chordata; Mammalia; Primates; Cercopithecidae. The record is from RefSeq and is a predicted model, not a curated record.